CAGGGAGACAACAAAAUGUUUAAUAUUAUUAUUUUGUCACCUUAGGUCGAUCGGUAUCUCACAUUCUUAAUUCGUUAAGGAUUUUAUUUCCUAAGUUUUUUCUAGGUCACACCCAUUUUCCCUGGGCCAUUAGCUCAGGUGGUUAGAGCGCACCCCUGAUAAGGGUGAGGUCCCUGGUUCAAGUCCAGGAUGGCCCAUCUCUCUAUGUUGGGGGUAUAGCUCAGUUGGUAGAGCGCCUGCUUUGCAAGCAGGAUGUCAGCGGUUCGAGUCCGCUUACCUCCACUGAUUACCACCUCUUCCAUAGUUAAUAAAAUCAGGGAAUUAUUCAAGUGCUGAUCAAAUUCUGAACGAAUCUAGCUUCCUAAUGUAACUAUUAAGAUGCUGGACUCAUUGAAUUAAUUUCAUUGUUUUCAGAGAACCUUGACAACUGCAUAGAUUAUUUUUAAAGACAAUAAGCAUCUUUAAUGAUGCAGAUUUAUUAUUUGUGCGAAUGCAUUAAUAACAAUUCUAUUAAGCUGAUGCUUCAAUUUUUGAAGUUAUU
RNAcentral lists this transfer RNA (541 nucleotides) under uncultured cyanobacterium. RNAcentral's name for it is "partial 16S-23S ribosomal RNA intergenic spacer". The stretch from base 210 to 282 matches the Rfam family "tRNA". Lineage: Bacteria; Bacillati; Cyanobacteriota. The record is from RNAcentral.